GAGUAUAUUAAUUCAGAUAUUAAUGCUUGUUUUCCUCUGUUUAUGGAAUCUCAAGUUUAGAUACUUGUUUUGUAC
Molecule: small nucleolar RNA, 75 nt
Organism: Brassica oleracea var. oleracea
Lineage: Eukaryota; Viridiplantae; Streptophyta; Magnoliopsida; Brassicales; Brassicaceae
Source: Rfam